CACGUAGGGGGCGAGCGUUGUCCGGAUUUAUUGGGCGUAAAGAGUGCGUAGGCGGUUCUUGAAGUCCGCUGUGAAAGCCCCGGGCUUAACCUGGGAAUGGCAGUGGAAACUGGAGGACUUGAAUUGAGCAGAGGGGGGUGGAAUGCCGCGUGUAGCAGUGAAAUGCGUAGAGAUGCGGCGGAACACCGAUGGCGAAGGCAGCCCCCUGGGCUUAAAUUGACGCUGAGGCACGAAAGCGUGGGGAGCAAACAGG
Molecule: ribosomal RNA, 253 nt
Filed under: uncultured bacterium
Lineage: Bacteria
Description: partial 16S ribosomal RNA
Rfam family: Bacterial small subunit ribosomal RNA
Source: RNAcentral